CCUACGGGAGGCAGCAGUGGGGAAUAUUGCACAAUGGGCGCAAGCCUGAUGCAGCCAUGCCGCGUGUAUGAAGAAGGCCUUCGGGUUGUAAAGUACUUUCAGCGGGGAGGAAGGGAGUAAAGUUAAUACCUUUGCUCAUUGACGUUACCCGCAGAAUAAGCAUCGGCUAACUCCGUGCCAGCAGCCGCGGUAAU
This 194-nucleotide ribosomal RNA is filed under the name uncultured bacterium. RNAcentral's name for it is "partial 16S ribosomal RNA". It matches the Rfam family "Bacterial small subunit ribosomal RNA", at positions 338 to 524 of the family's 1533-position model. The record is from RNAcentral.